Unclassified non-coding RNA from Gorilla gorilla gorilla (western lowland gorilla), 110 nucleotides. It matches the Rfam family "Y RNA". Rfam says of the family: Y RNAs are components of the Ro ribonucleoprotein particle (Ro RNP), in association with Ro60 and La proteins. The Y RNAs and Ro60 and La proteins are well conserved, but the function of the Ro RNP is not known. The record is from Ensembl. NCBI's taxonomy places the organism in Eukaryota, Metazoa, Chordata, Mammalia, Primates, Hominidae.
GGCUGGCCUGAAGGUAGUAGUGAAUUAGCUCAACUGAUUGUUCACAGUCAGUUACAGAUCAAACUUCUACUCUUUCCCCUCUUCUCACUACUGCACUUGACUACUCUUAA